GGAUUAGAUACCCUGGUAGUCCACGCCGUAAACGAUGAUUACUCGUUAUUAGCGAUAUACAGUUAGUGACUAAGCGAAAGUGAUAAGUAAUCCACCUGGGGAGUACGGUCGCAAGAUUGAAACUCAAAGGAAUUGACGGGGGCCCGCACAAGCGGUGGAGCAUGUGGUUUAAUUCGAUGAUACGCGAGGAACCUUACCAGGGCUUAAAUGUAGAUUGACAGGUUUGGAAACAGACUUUUCUUCGGACAAUUUACAAGGUGCUGCAUGGCUGUCGUCAGCUCGUGCCG
This 287-nucleotide ribosomal RNA is filed under the name uncultured bacterium. Its description in RNAcentral is "partial 16S ribosomal RNA". It matches the Rfam family "Bacterial small subunit ribosomal RNA", at positions 775 to 1067 of the family's 1533-position model. The record is from RNAcentral.